This 1256-nucleotide long non-coding RNA is filed under the name Oryctolagus cuniculus (rabbit). RNAcentral describes it as "lncRNA (ENSOCUG00000037161.1)". Lineage: Eukaryota; Metazoa; Chordata; Mammalia; Lagomorpha; Leporidae. The record is from RNAcentral.
GAUCGGGUUGGGAGGCCCCGGGCCCGCCCCACGCCUCAUCAGCUGGAGUCGGAUUUUCUUGGGCCUGAGGCGCUGAAGCGCUGUUAUUUUGGGGGCGGGGAGAAGAGGCGAGUCUAUGGAGGGUUGAAGACGGCCCGAAGGGCUUGACUAAGGUCCGCCCUUGCUUAAUGAGUGAUCAAUCGGGACCUAACCGCGGGCCGCACAGCCCUCGGGACGGUGGGCUCUAGAAUCCAGGAGUACUUGGCAAAGUCAUGCCCCGAGGGUUGAGUCUGCGAAUCCUGCUCUGUGGCCCGCCCCGGCUGCCGCGCUCGCCGGCUGCCGCUGUCGGCAAAACCCGGCUCCGGUCGGGCCUCACUGAGCGGCCCCCUAGGAACGUGCACUUCGCUCACUGUUGAGGAAAGCGUCAGUCUCCCCAGUUUUCCGCUCCUUAAAAGUACAGUGAAAGGGGUUCAAAGGCCGGUCACUCCACGGCGUGUAGCCCCGUCCGCGUCCCGCUCGGUCCCAGGAAGAGCCCCCAGUGGUCCCCCGCGGACCCCGCCCGGCCAGCCCGGCCCGCCCCCCUCCCCGGCCGCCGCGAACACCCGGAGGAGCGGACUCUCGUCGCGCGGGAAGCCGGGCCGGCUCGGCCGCGGACUGGGCAUGCUCCGCAGCCCGGGAGGCUCGCGGUGGCAAGUCGGCAGCGUUCGCACCAGCGAGCCGGGCAGCGGCGGCAGGCAGGAGGCGAACAGGAAGGGCCGGCCCUGGCAGACGGCUCUCGCCCUGCGCCCCACGAGCCGGCCAGAGAACGCGACUGGGGUGCGAAGCCCCGACGCUGCUCUGCCCCGGAUUUCAUUCCGCGGCUGGGGGCUCGGAGAGCGGAAUUCCGGCGGCUGCCGCGACUCCCCAUGCAAGGUGAAGGCAGCAUGAGUGAUUCCUGAAUGUGCCUUUGGGCAUAUUUAACAGGCUUUUGAUUAGGACAAAGAGAACAGCCACCCACACUGGAAAGGUGAGUAAAGAUUUCUUUUUUGUAUAACAGUUUUCAAACACCCUGAAGAGUUGAAAGAAUGUACAAUGAGUUCCUGUGUACUCACUCUGAAAAGUUAAGAUUUGUUAGCAUUUUGCCACAUUUUCAAUGUGUAUGUAGGUUUGUACUUUUUCCUUAUUCUUUGUUUUUUUUGCUGAAACGUGUGAAAGUUAGUUGCAGACAUCAUGACAUUUUCUUCUAAAUUCUUGGGAAUAUAGCUGCUAAAAAUAAAGAUAUUCUCCCUUGAGAGACA